UCUUCGGAGAGUUUGAUCCUGGCUCAGGAUGAACGCUGGCGGCGUGCCUAAUACAUGCAAGUCGAGCGAAUUGAUUAGAAGCUUGCUUCUAUGACGUUAGCGGCGGACGG
This 110-nucleotide ribosomal RNA is filed under the name Priestia megaterium. RNAcentral describes it as "partial 16S ribosomal RNA". It matches the Rfam family "Bacterial small subunit ribosomal RNA", at positions 1 to 105 of the family's 1533-position model. Lineage: Bacteria; Bacillati; Bacillota; Bacilli; Caryophanales; Bacillaceae. The record is from RNAcentral.